This 72-nucleotide transfer RNA is filed under the name Bos taurus (domestic cattle). It matches the Rfam family "tRNA". From Rfam's summary of the family: Transfer RNA (tRNA) molecules are approximately 80 nucleotides in length. The record is from Rfam by way of RNAcentral. RNAcentral also lists the same sequence under 1 other name. Lineage: Eukaryota; Metazoa; Chordata; Mammalia; Artiodactyla; Bovidae.
UCCCUGGUGGUCCAGUGGUUAGGACUCAGCGCUUUUACUGCCGUGGCCUGAGUGCAAUCCCUGGUCGGGGAA